GAAAAUUUAGGCCCAAAAGAGGGGUGGCCGGCCAUAUGGCCCAAGCCCAUGGUAAUUCAUUAAUCCAUGUAUUAAAUGAGACAUUAGACCACAAUUCUUUCAUUUUCAAGAAUCUUCAAGAACAAAAUUGAGAGAAAAAGAAGAGCAAAAACUUGAAGGACCACACGGCCAAGACCUUGGAAAAUUAGGUCCUCAAAAUCUUCCUCCAAAAAUUAUUAGCUUGUGGUUUUCCUACUCAAUUAAGGGUCCUUUACAACUUGGUGUAGUUGUUUUGGAAGAAGGAGCACUUAUUUCUUCAAGUUGACAACUUGUUCAAGUGAAGAAAUUUGUAGAAAAAGGUUUUGGACGAAACGGGAUUUGAGUUUUGGCAAGCGUAAAGGGCAAGAAAGGUACCGACGACAGGUUUGCUGAUCCGUCCGCUUAGGAUCUUAUUCUCCUAUUUUGGAGCGCUCUCUUAUCCAGAGCCCAUCUUUUGGUAUAGUCUGUCACUACUGUAUAUAUAUAUUCUCGUUCAUGGGUACGGCGGGGCCCUGUCC
Long non-coding RNA from Lycium barbarum (goji berry), 536 nucleotides. RefSeq lists it as uncharacterized. The record is from RefSeq and is a predicted model, not a curated record. The transcript has 3 exons. NCBI's taxonomy places the organism in Eukaryota, Viridiplantae, Streptophyta, Magnoliopsida, Solanales, Solanaceae.